RNAcentral lists this transfer RNA (85 nucleotides) under Euryarchaeota archaeon ADurb.Bin023. RNAcentral's name for it is "tRNA-Tyr". It matches the Rfam family "tRNA". Rfam says of the family: Transfer RNA (tRNA) molecules are approximately 80 nucleotides in length. Their secondary structure includes four short double-helical elements and three loops (D, anti-codon, and T loops). RNAcentral also lists the same sequence under 3 other names. Lineage: Archaea; Methanobacteriati; Methanobacteriota. The record is from RNAcentral.
GGUGGGGUAGCGAAGUGGCUAAACGCGGUGGACUGUAAAUCCACUCUCUCCGAGUUCGGUGGUUCGAAUCCACUCCCCACCACCA